RNAcentral lists this ribosomal RNA (565 nucleotides) under uncultured Glomus. RNAcentral's name for it is "SSU rRNA". It matches the Rfam family "Eukaryotic small subunit ribosomal RNA", at positions 546 to 1106 of the family's 1831-position model. Lineage: Eukaryota; Fungi; Glomeromycota; Glomeromycetes; Glomerales; Glomeraceae. The record is from RNAcentral.
AAUUGGAGGGCAAGUCUGGUGCCAGCAGCCGCGGUAAUUCCAGCUCCAAUAGCGUAUAUUAAAGUUGUUGCAGUUAAAAAGCUCGUAGUUGAAUUUCGGGAUUGACGUGAUGGUCGUGCCUUAAGGGGUAUGAACUGUCGCAGUUGAUUUCUCACCUUCUGGAGAAACAUGAUGUCCUUAAUUGGGUGUCAUGUGGAACCAGGACCUUUACCUUGAAAAAAUUAGAGUGUUUAAAGCAGGCAUUUUGCUCGAAUACAUUAGCAUGGAAUAAUAGAAUAGGACGGCAUGGUUCUAUUUUGUUGGUUUCUAGGAUCACCGUAAUGAUUAAUAGGGAUAGUUGGGGGCAUUAGUAUUCAAUUGUCAGAGGUGAAAUUCUUGGAUUUAUUGAAGACUAACUACUGCGAAAGCAUUUGCCAAGGAUGUUUUCAUUAAUCAAGAACGAAAGUUAGGGGAUCGAAGACGAUCAGAUACCGUCGUAGUCUUAACCAUAAACUAUGCCGACUAGGAAUCAGACGAUGUUAAUUUUUUAAUGACUCGUUUGGCACCUUACGGGAAACCAAAGUGU